This 62-nucleotide transfer RNA is filed under the name Wiedomys cerradensis (cerrado red-nosed mouse). RNAcentral's name for it is "tRNA-Ser". Lineage: Eukaryota; Metazoa; Chordata; Mammalia; Rodentia; Cricetidae. The record is from RNAcentral.
AAGAAAGAGAUUAUGAUGAACUGCUAACUCAUUGAACCACUACCAAUCUUGUGGCUUUCUUA